AGGAUGAACGCUGGCGGUCUGCUUAACACAUGCAAGUCGAACGGAGUAGCAAUACUUAGUGGCGGACGGGUGAGUAACGCGUGAGAAUCUACCUUCAGGACGGAGACAACAGUUGGAAACGACUGCUAACCCCCGAUGUACUGAAAAGGCAAAUAUUUAUAGCCUGAAGAAGAGCUCGCGUCCGAUUAGCUAGUUGGAGAGGUAAAAGCUCACCAAGGCGACGAUCGGUAGCUGGUCUGAGAGGACGAUCAGCCACACUGGGACUGAGACACGGCCCAGACUCCUACGGGAGGCAGCAGUGGGAAUUUUCCGCAAUGGGCGAAAGCCUGACGGAGCAAGACCGCGUGGGGGAAGAAGGCUCUUGGGUUCGUAAACCCCUUUUCUCUGGGAAGAACACAAUGACGGUACCAGAGGAAUCAGCAUCGGCUAACUCCGCGCCAGCAGCCGC
Molecule: ribosomal RNA, 448 nt
Filed under: uncultured bacterium
Lineage: Bacteria
Description: SSU rRNA
Rfam family: Bacterial small subunit ribosomal RNA
Source: RNAcentral